Molecule: unclassified non-coding RNA, 204 nt
Filed under: uncultured Gammaproteobacteria bacterium
Lineage: Bacteria; Pseudomonadati; Pseudomonadota; Gammaproteobacteria
Description: contains 16S-23S intergenic spacer region
Source: RNAcentral
UCCGGUUUGUCACCGGCAGUCUCAUUAGAGUGCCCAACUGAAUGUAGCAACUAAUGACAAGGGUUGCGCUCGUUGCGGGACUUAACCCAACAUCUCACGACACGAGCUGACGACAGCCAUGCAGCACCUGUCCUUAGUUGAAUGUUCUAGGGAGACUGCCGGGCGAAACCCGGAGGAAGGUGGGGAUGACGUUUACGUGCACUU